GGCAGCACAGGUAGCAAUACCGGGUGGCGACCGGCGCACGGGUGAGUAACGCGUAUGCAACUUGCCUAUCAGAGGGGGAUAACCCGGCGAAAGUCGGACUAAUACCGCAUGAAGCAGGGGCCCCGCAUGGGGAUAUUUGCUAAAGAUUCAUCGCUGAUAGAUAGGCAUGCGUUCCAUUAGGCGGUUGGCGGGGUAACGGCCCACCAAACCGACGAUGGAUAGGGGUUCUGAGAGGAAGGUCCCCCACAUUGGUACUGAGACACGGACCAAACUCCUACGGGAGGCAGCAGUGAGGAAUAUUGGUCAAUGGGCGUAAGCCUGAACCAGCCAAGUCGCGUGAGGGAUGAAGGUUCUAUGGAUCGUAAACCUCUUUUAUAAGGGAAUAAAGUGCGGGACGUGUCCCGUUUUGUAUGUACCUUAUGAAUAAGGAUCGGCUAACUCCGUGCCAGCAGCCGCGGUAAUACGGAGGAUCCGAGCGUUAUCCGGAUUUAUUGGGUUUAAAGGGUGCGUAGGCGGCCUUUUAAGUCAGCGGUGAAAGUCUGUGGCUCAACCAUAGAAUUGCCGUUGAAACUGGGGGGCUUGAGUAUGUUUGAGGCAGGCGGAAUGCGUGGUGUAGCGGUGAAAUGCUUAGAUAUCACGCAGAACCCCGAUUGCGAAGGCAGCCUGCCAAGCCAUGACUGACGCUGAUGCACGAAAGCGUGGGGAUCAAACAGGAUUAGAUACCCUGGUAGUCCACGCAGUAAACGAUGAUCACUAGCUGUUUGCGAUACACAGUAAGCGGCACAGCGAAAGCGUUAAGUGAUCCACCUGGGGAGUAC
This 818-nucleotide ribosomal RNA is filed under the name uncultured bacterium. RNAcentral's name for it is "bacterial SSU rRNA". It matches the Rfam family "Bacterial small subunit ribosomal RNA", at positions 68 to 883 of the family's 1533-position model. The record is from RNAcentral.